AACGAACGCUGGCGGCGCGUCUUAAGCAUGCAAGUCGAACGGCAAGAGAGGAGCUUGCUUCUCUCCUAGAGUGGCGGACUGGUGAGGAACACGUGGGUAAUCUACCCUUAAGAUGGGGAUAGCUGCUAGAAAUAGCAGGUAAUACCGAAUACACUCGGCAUAUCACAAGAGGUGUUGAGGAAAGGAAGCUACGGCUUCGCUUGAGGAUGAGCUUGCGUCCCAUUAGCUAGUUGGUGAGGUAAAGGCCCACCAAGGCGACGAUGGGUAUCCGGCCUGAGAGGGUGAACGGACACAUUGGGACUGAGAUACGGCCCAAACUCCUACGGGAGGCAGCAGCUAAGAAUAUUCCGCAAUGGACGGAAGUCUGACGGAGCGACGCCGCGUGGAUGAAGAAGGCUGAAAAGUUGUAAAAUCCUUUUGUUGAUGAAGAAUAAGGGUGAGAGGGAAUGCUCAUCUGAUGACGGUAAUCGACGAAUAAGCCCUGCUAAUUACGUG
This 495-nucleotide ribosomal RNA is filed under the name uncultured bacterium. Its description in RNAcentral is "partial 16S ribosomal RNA". It matches the Rfam family "Bacterial small subunit ribosomal RNA", at positions 29 to 507 of the family's 1533-position model. The record is from RNAcentral.